Non-coding RNA from Pelobates cultripes (western spadefoot toad), 218 nucleotides. NCBI's taxonomy places the organism in Eukaryota, Metazoa, Chordata, Amphibia, Anura, Pelobatidae. The record is from the annotation of a GenBank genome assembly.
CUGUCAUGCAUCACUAUUACUUGGGGAGCUGCGGGUAUCGUCACUCUUAUGUCAAUACCAUUGACACUUACGUCGUAUUUAUGUCCUUCCCGUCCACUGACAAUAAGGGAGGGGGGAAACUAGGUAAAAGGGGAAGUAGGGGGAGGGGGUGUCGGUCUACUAAUAGUGGGAGUGUAUGCUAAGGGUUUAAUAGCCGCUGUGGUUUUAGAGACACUGGG